This is a long non-coding RNA of Myxocyprinus asiaticus (Chinese sucker), 2817 nucleotides long. RefSeq lists it as uncharacterized. The record is from RefSeq and is a predicted model, not a curated record. Lineage: Eukaryota; Metazoa; Chordata; Actinopteri; Cypriniformes; Catostomidae. The transcript is spliced from 3 exons.
GUGAUGAGUUAAUGCAAUGUGUUUUCCUUCUUUUUUUCUUUUAGCUUGAUCAGCUAUUUCUGCUAAGCUCUUUUGUGUUCCACGGAAGAAGAAAAAAAGUCAUAUGGGGCUGAAAUGACAUGAGGGUGAGUAAAAUGAUGACAAAAUUUUUUUGGGGCAAACUAUUCCUUUAAAACACUGUCCAAAGACCUCAAAUCAAGUCCAAAAAUACUGUAGAUCUAUAAAGAACAAUCAAGCUACCUUCUCUACUUUAUCUCAAUCUCUCUUUUGGAUUGCUCAAACCCUACAGGAUUUCAAAUCAUGAGACAUGAAAUUGUGAUGAACUUCAGUUCCAGUGGACAUCGGCGGAAAAGUCCUGAACAUGCCCCCCACAAACAACAUUACAGAUGGAGUUUUCAUCCAUAACCUCAACAAACAUUCUUUCAUAAUGGCCUUGUUGCCACCGUGCAGCAAAAAAUGCAAUCAGAAACUAAAUGUAGACCAAAAUCACGCCAUUUAUCUGAUUUCCUAAGAAACAAGAGUUGCUAAUCCUGAAUCAGGCAUCUAUGUUUAAUUUUUUUUUUUACAAAAUUCCUGGUCUUAUUGUUGACAAUUCAUCAGUGCAUGUAAUUCCAAAGACAUAUAAAUUGCUACGCCUCUCAAACAACUUUCCUUUUUGGCUGAUGUCACCAAGUUCCCUUAUUUUUCAACCCCUUAUCGCCGAACAUCCAGCUGCAGUCUGGUACGGAACGCUCACUUUACACAAUUCACAAUGCCAAAGAGGAGGCUGCCGCCACGCACCCAAAACACCCCCCAUCCCCUGAUGGGGGCACCAAUAGGGAUCUUGCCUAGGGCGCCAGAAAUGUCUGAAACGUGGUGCCAUCUUCUUGUAUAGUAACUGCAGACUUAAUUGAACCCCAACUAAAUGUAGUUUUUGCUGUUUUACUUCUUUGUCGAACCUAAUGUACCAACUCAUCAUGUCUAUGCAGAUCACAACAGCUGUGAUUGGUCUGCUUUAGAACCAGAGACCGUCCCCCAGGAUGACAAAAAAAGAUAUCUUAGGUAGCUUUGCAUUUCUGCUUGUGACUACUGUUGACUCAAGCAUAGACCAAGUCGAGAAGAGACUGGUCGAGAAGGUCCGAAGAUAUGUGCACCUCUAUAAAGUAUAAAGACUGCCAGAUGGCAACAAAUUCAUGGUGAGAAAUCGACACAUCUCGGAAUGGUAAUGAGUGCAUGAAGAGGUGGAAGAAUACAAGGGACUAAUACAAUUGCCUCUGAAAGUAAAUUCGAGAAGCCGUUGGUUCAAUGGGUCUGUUCCAAAACCUAGUGAGUGUCCUCUGGAGGCAGCAUUUAAGGCAUCAUAGGCGCGCUCCCGACGUGAACACUGUUCCAAAAGGUAGGUAUCUUAAUUAUGCUGCCUUCUAAGAUAUCUCGUUUGGCCAAAUUUUAAAGGUAGCAUCGUAUGUAUCUUUCCCCAGGUAGGUGAUCCCAGAAUUCACCAUGAUGAGCUUGGUGGAAAAAUAAAUCCAAGAUGGCAGAUGAAGCGAGAGAAAUUUAGAUUUUUAAAUAUACUUAGAAUCCAUUCAAUAUUUAAAAGUAUUGAUAAAUAACAGUUUAAUAUGAUAGAAAGCCAACUAUUUUACCUAAAAUGUAUGUGUGCUGUGCAUAUUUAUGCUCAUUACAGGAUUGCAUUGUUUCUCCCGCGUCACUUGUAUUGAAAUCAAUUGCGCUGUGUUUGAGGAGCGCUACUUAAAUGACGUGUGGAGUUGCCGUCUGUGUAGAGCAUUCCAAAUCACUCUCUUAUGAGGCAUCACUUCAGUUAGAAUGCUGACAUAGAAGACAGUGAGGCAGCUCACUAAGUUUUGGAACAGACUAGGGGUAUAAUGGUUCUCAGUAAAAAAAGAACCGUACAGUUCACCAACCACAGUUAGGUAAGCAUUUGCUCCGUGGUUCAUCUCUAGUUUAAUAACGCAUCUGGAUCAUACAGUUUGGCGAAGAAAAUAAAGCAAUAGACAUGCAUAGUUGUAACCUCCGCUAAUGCAUCUGUAUCGCUCUGUAGAUGGACACACUCCACUUGUGUUUCACGUGGGUCAACUUUCUACAGAGAGCUGUUAGUAUGCUAAAUCAGUUCAUGACAUCACAGUUCUGCAUGCAUUAGUUGGCAAAAUGGCAAGAGAGAAGCCCCUAAUUUAAGUCUCCAGGGAACUUUUUCUUUAUGCAGUCAAUUAAAACAGCAAUGGUCAAAAAACAUAUAAAACAGGCACUGUUUGCAGACAUUGCUCGACACGAGUGGCAUAUACUGGUAAUACAUCGAUAUUUGAUUAGCUAUUUAUACUGACAUCACCCAAGGAUAGAUAGUGUGGUGCACACAGAGCCGCAGUUGAGCUAAAGUAAGAACUAAAGUGCUUGGAGUGUUCAUAGCCAAAGUUAUGUUGCCCUUACUCCAUUGAUGAAGAUGUGGGAUUUCUGCAUAUGAUUAAAAUACUCGAGCUGCUUUACGACAUCCAUUAUUGUAUUCAUUUUAAAUAGCAAGUUUAUUUCUUCUAUAGUGAUGUACAGAUUCUGAACAUUGAAUAUACAAUGAGUUGAGUUUGAAAUGCAGUUUAUAUUGAUAUACAGUAUGUAGCAUAAUAAUGCAGGUAUUAAUUUAAAAUGUUGAGAAAAUUUACCAUGGUUUUACUAUAGUAAUAUUGUAGUAACCAUGACUGUAAUAACAAGGACUGUUGGCACCAUGGUUUUCUUUGCAGAAAUCAUGGUUUUGAUAGAAUUAACCAUGGUUUUAUGUAGUAGCCGUAUAGUAACCAUGGUUUUACUAUAGUAAUAUUGUAGUAGCCAUGA